This 610-nucleotide ribosomal RNA is filed under the name bacterium fme09x26p297. Its description in RNAcentral is "bacterial SSU rRNA". It matches the Rfam family "Bacterial small subunit ribosomal RNA", at positions 48 to 655 of the family's 1533-position model. The record is from RNAcentral.
GCUACACAUGCAGUCGAGCGGAACGAUGGUAGCUUGCUACCAGGCGUCGAGCGGCGGACGGGUGAGUAAUACUUAGGAAUCUACCUAGUAGUGGGGGAUAGCACGGGGAAACUCGUAUUAAUACCGCAUACGACCUACGGGAGAAAGGGGGCAGUUUACUGCUCUCGCUAUUAGAUGAGCCUAAGUCGGAUUAGCUAGAUGGUGGGGUAAAGGCCUACCAUGGCGACGAUCUGUAGCUGGUCUGAGAGGAUGAUCAGCCACACCGGGACUGAGACACGGCCCGGACUCCUACGGGAGGCAGCAGUGGGGAAUAUUGGACAAUGGGGGAAACCCUGAUCCAGCCAUGCCGCGUGUGUGAAGAAGGCCUUUUGGUUGUAAAGCACUUUAAGCAGUGAAGAAGACUCUUCGGUUAAUACCCGGAGACGAUGACAUUAGCUGCAGAAUAAGCACCGGCUAACUCUGUGCCAGCAGCCGCGGUAAUACAGAGGGUGCAAGCGUUAAUCGGAAUUACUGGGCGUAAAGCGAGCGUAGGUGGCUUGAUAAGUCAGAUGUGAAAUCCCCGGCUUAACCUGGGAACUGCAUCUGAACUGUUAGGCUAGAGUAGGUGAGA